Molecule: non-coding RNA, 51 nt
Filed under: Pasteurella multocida subsp. gallicida X73
Lineage: Bacteria; Pseudomonadati; Pseudomonadota; Gammaproteobacteria; Pasteurellales; Pasteurellaceae
Description: L31-Gammaproteobacteria ribosomal protein leader
Rfam family: L31-Gammaproteobacteria ribosomal protein leader
Source: RNAcentral
CAUGCGGUGUCAGUCUGUGUACUCGAUAGCGGCAUGGCUUCAAAUUGAGGU